AAUAACCCAUUAACACCACCAAUCCAUUGAAUUGUUCGACUACAUAUCAAGUAAUAUAUUUAAUAAGCAUACCUUCUAAUGUAUUCUUUGUGACUGACCAAAAAAAAAUCGACUGUUAUGUUCUUUAUGCACAUGGAUAAUUAUGACUUACAAAAAACUGAUGGAUAUAUUGUAGCAGAUUUUUUUGUACAUUGAGAAAAGGGAUGCCAUCCAUCUCGAAUUACCAUCCGUAUGAGGUCACUGUUAUUGAAAGAUUUUUGUUUGUACAUUGAGAAAAGGGAUGUCAUCCAUCUCUAAUUACCAUCCGUAUGAGGUCACUGUUAUUGAAAGUGGCCUUAUUGAUUGUGGCAUUCGCUUGGAUCCAAGGUAUAAUGUUGUUUAAAUUUGUACUUGGAUGCUCAACAUUUUGUCAGAUUUCAAGCUCCUUCCUUUUUUGUUUGCGAUACAUAUUACUUCCAUGGUGCACCCUAUUUCUAACGGGUACCAUUAGAUUUUGAGUCACUCCCAAUUGUGAUCCGAUUCUUUAUUGUUGGGAACUAAGAAAUUUUUGUAAUUGGUUGUUACAUGUAAAUAUUAGCUCUGUACAUUUCCCCU
Papaver somniferum (opium poppy) is the source of this 594-nucleotide long non-coding RNA. RefSeq lists it as uncharacterized. The record is from RefSeq and is a predicted model, not a curated record. The transcript is spliced from 3 exons. NCBI's taxonomy places the organism in Eukaryota, Viridiplantae, Streptophyta, Magnoliopsida, Ranunculales, Papaveraceae.